This 253-nucleotide ribosomal RNA is filed under the name uncultured bacterium. RNAcentral describes it as "partial 16S ribosomal RNA". It matches the Rfam family "Bacterial small subunit ribosomal RNA", at positions 524 to 776 of the family's 1533-position model. The record is from RNAcentral.
UACGUAGGUGGCAAGCGUUGUCCGGAUUUACUGGGCGUAAAGAGCGCGCAGGCGGUCGUUCAAGUCGCGUGUGAAAGCCCCCGGCUCAACUGGGGAGGGUCACGCGAUACUGAUCGACUCGAAGGCAGGAGAGGGAAGUGGAAUUCCCGGUGUAGUGGUGAAAUGCGUAGAUAUCGUGAGGAAGACCAGUGGCGAAGGCGGGUCUCUGGACAGUUCCUGACACUGAGGCACGAAGGCCAGGGGAGCAAACGGG